Alligator mississippiensis (American alligator) is the source of this 5700-nucleotide long non-coding RNA. RefSeq lists it as uncharacterized. NCBI's taxonomy places the organism in Eukaryota, Metazoa, Chordata, Crocodylia, Alligatoridae. The record is from RefSeq and is a predicted model, not a curated record. The transcript is spliced from 4 exons.
AGUAUCUAUAAUCUUACUUUGCAGAGGCUAGUGAAAUUAUCCUCUAAUGGUUACACAUGAUGACUGGGAAAGUCAUGACUAGAACAAGGAUCUCUUAAUGCCCGGUCCCCAUUUCUCACCUGUCUACCCUAUCAGUAGUAUUAUUCUCUGUUGCUUAUAUUAGAGUAGCACCAUUGUGCUAAGUGCUGCACUAAGUCAGAGGAAGACAGUCACUUUUCCAGUGUGAUAUAACUUAAGGGGAAAAGGAAGCCCAAAGAGGUGAAGUGACCGGCCUAAAGCAGGUCAGUGACAGAGCAUGGGAGUGAAACCUAGAUCUCUUAAAUUAUAAUCAUGUGCAAUCUACAAUGAGCCAUACCUAGAAUUAAACUAGCUGCAAUUUAAAAGAAAAACAGUCUUUAAUGUUGGAAUCUCUUUCUUUUUCUUGAUUAUUUGUUCUUAUAGUAUUAAGAAAUUAUCCCACUGAGGGCCAAAAAGCAGCUUGUCCCAUCAUCUAACAGCAGGCCAGCUGACAGUUUACUUCUCCACCUCUAUAGUAGUAGGCAUGACCUUCCUCAGAGACACUUGGGCACGAGAAAUGAACGUAUCCUCUUGCAAAACAGCGCAAAGCAGGUGUCUAAGUCCAGGAAAUGUCCUUUUGGGUGGACCCUCCAGGGCAAACAUUGCUACCUUCUGAAUCCAGUUAGAAAUGCAACCUGGGAGAGUGCUGAAAUGGCCUGCAGAGAAUGGUCUGAUUCACUUAGCCAGCGUGCAUUCCCAAAAAGAAAUGGUAUGGCUCUGGAAGUUUGCCGGCAAACAACCGUUUUGGAUUGGCCUUCUGGAAAAAGGUGAGAAGGAGAGAUGGAUUUUGAGUCCUGGACACCCAGUGACCUUUCAUAAUUUUUAGGGAGGAAAGCCAUUACCAAGCCAAACAGCUCAACUGAAGUGUGUCCUUGCACAAAGGAAGGAAAAAUGGGUAACAAGGCACUGCAAACAGGCACACCGAGAGAGAUAUGUCUGCUCUUCUCCUUCAUGGACUGGCUUGACCUCACAAAACCCAACAUAACUCCAUUUCUUGUAUCCCAACAGCUACGUCAUGGGUGAUGAUCAGCAUUGCAAUUGAAAGCAAGACAUUAGGGAGAAAAGUUGUAAUUAGGAAUGAAUUAAAUACCAAGCAGAGGGAGCAAAGUUAAAACUAAACAUUUUAUAAAUUCAUUUCAUUUGCAUAUAAUUUCAUUUAUAAUUGACAUUUUAUAAGUUCACUGCCAUUUUCCUUCUGUAGAGUUAAAUCAAUGUGAAUACUGCCAGAGCUGAUAAGCAGCUGCGGGCAGAGUUUUGAGGUUUGCAAGUUGUUAGCGCAAGGGAAGAUUUCAAAACUUUCCUCGUGAGUUUGUGCAUUGGUCUACUUUAAAAGUUUACCGUGACCAUGUGAAAUAAUCUUAUUGCAGGGAAGCUGGGGACAGGCCAGUAAUCUGGGCUGUAGCUCUGUGGGCCUGAUCCACCAGCUUAAAUCCCCACAGAGAGAAGAAUGACCAAGAGUCUUAGCACUGACUUGUGCUGGUGCUUUAUGCCCGGGAAGGAAAAGGAUCCAUUGCUAUGUGUCCAUGUGAAGAUCCCCUAGGCAAGAUCCAUUUCCUCAGGCUUCAUGCAGAGAUCCAGAAUUUUACCCUUCAGAGAGGCCUGAUUCUUCUGUGUUGAAAUUAGUGCUGUUUUGCCAUUAACUUCAAUGAGAGCAGACUCAAACCACAAGUGCAUUUGUGUAAAAAGCAUGCAGUUUCAUGAACAUCUAUUGUAAUAGCAACAAUGAGAGAGAUUUUACAUCCAUUGGAUUAAUACUGUACUUACAGUUAUUACAGUAUGACUGUUAGUAAAGCAUUAGAAAAUCGAUCACAAGAGAGGACACACUAAGUUCAUAUGGAGAUGCAACAUGCCUUUCCUUGGAUCUGUAUAUUCCUCCUGGGCCCACACUUGCAAACCUUAGUGGCAGCCAGCAAUUAUAGCUCAUCUGUAUCUUCUUUUCUUUAUGGAAGAUAGAAAAUUCCCAACUGGAAAAAUACAGAACAACUUAUAGUUUGGACAUUCAGUUGGAUAAAUAUCUUGAUACAAAUCCACCCAGUCUUUCCUGCCCAGGGACAAUUUUACUUUCUAAAGAGUGGAGCAUAACAAUACAGCUAACUGUGAUGGGAUCCCAUAGCAAUAACAUGUUUAUGGGAAUGCUCUAUUCCCAGACUAAAUGAUGUGUAAACCCGCCCUGCCAUCUAGAAUUUGUUACUUUAUUAGGAUUAUAUUCUUAAUGGAAGGAUUAGAGUUUGCUUGAUAUCUUUGGUUAUCUUUUGUCAGGGCGGUAAUAUUUUUUCUAUGCAUUUAAAAAUGGCAUUGCUUAUAUCAUUGCAAUCAUUAUAUAUCCUUUCUGAUAGUAACUUUCAUUUCUUCUCCUAUCAAUCACUUAGUGAGUAGUGUUCAGGUUCCCGAUGAUUUAAAAGUAUGGUCCAUUGAGACAUGAGCAACAUCUUUCCUAGAGUAACAUUGAGACUCUAAAACUUUAAAUUCAAACCACAUGCUUCUGCCACUUCUCUUGAAACAACCACUAUCGAUCAGGGACUGUCACUAGACUAUAAACCACAGAUACUCUGUAACUCUUAGCAAACCAAAGCUCCCUUUUUAAAUUAUAGUUAGGGUCAGAAAGAUGACUAUUUUAAUAAUUCUGGUUUUACUCCUGGCAUCUCUUCUCUCUGCAGAUUUCAAAUAUCUGUGCUGACUGAAAGACCUUACUUCUCUGAGUUCCUCUUCGUUCUACAGCAGUCAAGCAAUUCUGGGAGCCUCACCCAGUCUUCCCAGGCUCAAGAAUAAUUAAUGGGACCUUUAUUAAAGAUACUGUGUUUGUCCUGGCUCUCACAUUAACCCUUUCAGGUCCCAGGGAGAGCAGAGAAGGUGUAUGACAGCUAGAGGGAAAAUAAGAAGUUGGUUUUGGGGCUUUUUGGGUUUUUUUACCGGUUAAUUUUGAAAAAGAAUCACUUAAAGGUAAAAAAAAAUAUGUGGUUGCUUUUGGGAUGAUAAUUCUUUAAAUUUUGCUAUUUGGAUAUUGCUGUAAGGGUACUGCACCUGAACAAAGGGAAGCACGGAAAAGAAAUAGCUGGAAAUGUGAGGUGGGAGGGAUAAAGGAAAACUGAAAAUUGAAAAGAUGAAGACAUAAUAGCCUCUAGUGUAAUGUUUUCUACCUAGUUGUGGAGGCCUUUUUUCCCCCUUUUAACAGCUCUCUGUUAUGGUAGAAAUGGUAGAUUCCUACCAUUUGGGGAUGAGCUUGAGUAUUUAGUUCAUGUCAUACCAGGCGUGUUUCCCCUCUCAUUCAAGAUCCUUACAUAUGGAUUGACAACUUCAAGACCCUGGGUAAAACACAAUUGCUUUAAUGCCCCCACCUACAUUUAUUAAAUGUUAUGUGAAUUUUGUUUCUAUGAAAAUGUCACUAAUUACAAUACUGUGAUUGUUUAGCUCUGAUACACGUAUAAUGUGUCCACAAAAUAAACAUUAAUAGGAUAGGACCUACUUCAUUUUGGACAUUUGAUUAGUGUCUCUUAACGUAGAACAUAUAACAAGUCUGAGUGUAUUUCACUUGCACUUGCACUUAGCUAUAUAUAUAAAACAUAAUAAUAUAUAAUAAUAUACUAUAACUAUAUAUAUAAUAUCACUUGCACUUAGCUAUAUCUAUCUAUCUAUCUAUCUAUCUAUCUAUCUAUCUAUACACACACACAUAUUCAUUGACCUGUUGUCAUAACUCCCUAGUACAUGAGCAGUCAGCUGCCCAGAACGUGCCAUUUGCUUUUAAGAGAUGCACAGGACAUCUUGCUCAGAAAUCUCACAAGCUAACCAAAUGCAUUUCUACACAUCCAGCCUGCUGACCAUACUAGUGUUUCAAGUACUUCCUCUAGCAGUUUGUUACACGGAAACAUAUUUAGGAUAGCCAUGGACCUCCAAGAAGGCUUUGGACUGAUCCCUGGUGAGUCAGAGAUCCGUAUCGCGCGGUGUGAUUUAUAUGUCCGUCCUGCAUUUAUGGUGCCCAGGGAAGUUCCAGGACACAUUUCAACCUGGGUGUCAUAAAUGUGUUUUUUUGCAAUAAAUUCAACAGAAGCUUCUGCAUCCACGUACAGAGCAAGCUGGCAGACAUUCAGCAUUUCUGGAUGUCUACCAGCAAACAGAUGAGAAGUCCCAAGGGCUUCUGAUCUCCCAGGAGUGCAUUUUCACUGUGUUCCCCCAUCACAAUAGUGUCUAGAUAUUUAGCUAUUUUCUGGAAAAUGGGGGAUGGAUCCUCUAGGGGCUGUUUGUUCCAAGACUUGGGUGAGAUCCCACAGAACUCAGUACAAACCUUAUUUUGAUUUCAAGGAUGCUGGCCCUUGGAGGGUAGUUUUCCAGGAUGUUGCAUAAGGCACGGUUGGUUUUUAGCAGCAGAGCAGUCAUGUUAAGGCCUUGAUUUCUUUUCAGCCUCAGGCGGAAAUGUGGAGACACGGACGCCAGACAGGGGAGGGUGUAGAACACCAAGCACAAAUUGACUGCGACUUCUGGAGAAGUUAACCAGAACAAAUCCCCAGUAGGAGCACACAAGGAGCACAUUUUGUCUCCUAAACACUUCUCUAUUGAAUGUAACCAGGCAGAUGAGCAAGCAGGGUGCUAUAUUUCCUUUUUCCUUCUAUGGCUAAUUUCAUUUUCUCCUUUUUCAGUGAGUCAUGUUCAAAGAUCUGUUUAAUGCAUCAGUACCUUGAAAAUAAAGUUCUUUUCACCUAACACCUGGCCGCAAAAAUCAAGGGAGUAUGAUGAAUGUUCUCAGAAGUGCUUUAUUCCUUUGAAACCGGUGACUUUCAGGACUGUGUGUGGUAAAUCAUGUGCAUGGUUACCAUUAACAAUGAUAUGAAUAGUGCAUCUAAUUCCCUGGAAAUUAAGCCCCUCAGCUGUUCAAAGAAAACAGGAGCCAAAGAGAUUAAAUAUUGCAACCGGGAAAAUCUUUUUCAAAAAACCACUGUCUCUGCAGGCAAGAAAUAGCCCCGUUCAUCAGCUGUCUAACUGUUGAGUUUACUAUUGAGCUCAACCCUAUUAUCUUUCAUUUGAAUCAUGACCUUAAUUUAUUCUUUGAAAUAAAUUCUUCAGCGUGCUUCUCAGAACGUGGAAAAUACCUGGACUCUCGCAGUUGUCAUGGUCCAGCAGGGAACUAGAGGGUAAAUUUCCAAGCAAUUAUGGUAAAAUGCUCAGGCUGUAAAAUUAAUUAAGUGGAGCUACUGUGGGCGGGAGCCCGGUGUAAGUAUAAAAUCUCUUCCUCUUCCUUGUGGAGUUCAUUGCUGGAAAAGUCUCUCGGCUUAUAUCCAGCCAGCAUAAAGAAUAAGAUGCCCUUUCUUUUCCCCCUGAAACAGGGUUUCAGACCUGCCUUCGGAACCUCUGCUGAAGUCCUCAUUUUGUCUCGGUGAAGAGUGGUGCUUCGGAGCAGCUGUAUUGUUAUUGGCUUUGCAUCUGGUCUAGCCAUGAACAGUCCUGCCUGCUUACAGUCCUGCAAUCCCACUGAUUUGAAUGGGGUUGUACAGGUAUGAGUGAGGGGAGAACUUGGACUAGCGUUAUCUGUCGCCGGUGUUAUUUAAUAAAUACUUGUGAGAGUCUCUGGAAUGCCUGACCAUGGUUAUGGACUUCAUUGUAUUAGGCACUGUUCAUAUCCUUAAUAAAAAAAUAGUCUCUUCUUUUUAAUAA